This 73-nucleotide transfer RNA is filed under the name Mus musculus (house mouse). It matches the Rfam family "tRNA". Rfam says of the family: Transfer RNA (tRNA) molecules are approximately 80 nucleotides in length. Their secondary structure includes four short double-helical elements and three loops (D, anti-codon, and T loops). RNAcentral also lists the same sequence under 1 other name. Lineage: Eukaryota; Metazoa; Chordata; Mammalia; Rodentia; Muridae. The record is from Rfam by way of RNAcentral.
AGGUGUGUGGCUCAGUGGGUAGAGUACUCGCCUUGCAUGCAUGAAGUCCUGGGUUCAGUUUCCAGUACCUCCU